This 254-nucleotide ribosomal RNA is filed under the name uncultured bacterium. RNAcentral describes it as "partial 16S ribosomal RNA". It matches the Rfam family "Bacterial small subunit ribosomal RNA", at positions 524 to 776 of the family's 1533-position model. The record is from RNAcentral.
UACGUAGGGGGGCUAGCGUUGUCCGGAUUUAUUGGGCGUAAAGAGCGUGUAGGCGGCCAGGUAGGUCUGCUGUGAAAACUCGAGGCUCAACCUCGAGAUGUCGGCGGAAACCAUCUGGCUAGAGUCCGGAAGAGGAAAGUGGAAUUCCUGGUGUAGCGGUGAAAUGCGCAGAUAUCAGGAAGAACACCCGUGGCGAAGGCGGCUUUCUGGGACGGUACUGACGCUGAGACGCGAAAGCGUGGGGAGCGAACAGG